RNAcentral lists this ribosomal RNA (467 nucleotides) under uncultured bacterium. Its description in RNAcentral is "bacterial SSU rRNA". It matches the Rfam family "Bacterial small subunit ribosomal RNA", at positions 355 to 825 of the family's 1533-position model. The record is from RNAcentral.
UGAGGAAUAUUGGACAAUGGGCGCAAGCCUGAUCCAGCCAUGCCGCGUGCAGGAUGACGGUCCUAUGGAUUGUAAACUGCUUUUGUACAGGAAGAAACAGUUCUACGUGUAGAACCUUGACGGUACUGUAAGAAUAAGGAUCGGCUAACUCCGUGCCAGCAGCCGCGGUAAUACGGAGGAUCCAAGCGUUAUCCGGAAUCAUUGGGUUUAAAGGGUCCGUAGGCGGUUAGAUAAGUCAGUGGUGAAAGCCCAUCGCUCAACGGUGGAACGGCCAUUGAUACUGUCUGACUUGAAUUAUUAGGAAGUAACUAGAAUAUGUAGUGUAGCGGUGCAAUGCUUAGAGAUUACAUGGAAUACCAAUUGCGAAGGCAGGUUACUACUAAUGGAUUGACGCUGAUGGACGAAAGCGUGGGUAGCGAACAGGAUUAGAUACCCUCGUAGUCCCUGAGCGGGCUGGCAAGGCGCAU